RNAcentral lists this transfer RNA (75 nucleotides) under Acinetobacter phage TAC1. RNAcentral describes it as "tRNA-Met". It matches the Rfam family "tRNA". Rfam says of the family: Transfer RNA (tRNA) molecules are approximately 80 nucleotides in length. Their secondary structure includes four short double-helical elements and three loops (D, anti-codon, and T loops). RNAcentral also lists the same sequence under 8 other names. The record is from RNAcentral. Lineage: Duplodnaviria; Heunggongvirae; Uroviricota; Caudoviricetes; Luriaviridae.
AGUUCUAUAGCACAUAGUGGUCUGUGCGCUUGGCUCAUAACCAAGAGGAUGCUGGUUCGACUCCAGUUGGAACUA